This 2052-nucleotide long non-coding RNA is filed under the name Salmo salar (Atlantic salmon). RNAcentral's name for it is "lncRNA (ENSSSAG00000090789.1)". The record is from RNAcentral. Lineage: Eukaryota; Metazoa; Chordata; Actinopteri; Salmoniformes; Salmonidae.
GGUGGAGAAAACAUAGACGAAUUUCGAGAGAAUUUCAUAUAGGCUACUGCAGUGAAGGCCUACAAAAUAGACAAUUCGGUCACGGAUGUGUUUUUUUUUUACUGUGUAUAUUACACAUUUACUUUGUUUAGCAAUGCAUUCUAAAAAUGUUGGACCAUUUUGCGAAUUUCUUCCAUUUCAGGGCUGGUGGCGGUACUGCUGACGGUACUCCAGUGGGCAGGGCGAGGCCUCCCUUCUCCUGUCAGGCCCAUCUGUGACCCCCGCGUUCUGGACCGCUUCAUCAUGGAGGCCCGCGACACAGAGACCGCUCUGCGAAGUUGCAAGGCAGGGUGUGGCGUGACAGGCACCUUCGUGGUUCCACUGACCAACGUUGACUUUGUGGUAUUGGAGACAAAGGAUACUGAGGAGCAGGCUCUGGAGGUCCAGUCGGGGCUGUCUCUGUUUGGCCAGGCCCUGGGUGCUGUGCGGGAGUCAGUGAGCCGUGCUGCCGUGCAGAGCCUCAUCGACAACAACAAGAGCAACAUCCACAGCCUGGGCCAGGUGCUGCGCAGCCUCCACAUCAAGGUGACUCACUGAGGAUUGUGGGUGUCUCGUCUACAGCAUGACCAGUGGAUGGGACUGUGGGUGUCUCGUCUACAGCAUGACCAGUGGAUGGGACUGUGGGUGUCUCGUCUACAGCAUGACCAGUGGAUAGGACUGUGGGUGUCUCGUCUACAGCAUGACCAGUGGAUGGGACUGUGGGUGUCUCGUCUACAGCAUGACCAGUGUAUGGGACUGUGGGUGUCUCGUCUACAGCAUGACCAGUGGAUGGGACUGUGGGUGUCUCGUCUACAGCAUGACCAGUGGAUGGGACUGUGGGUGUCUCGUCUACAGCAUGACCAGUGGAUAGGACUGUGGGUGUCUCGUCUACAGCAUGACCAGUGGAUGGGACUGUGGUGUGAACAGGGGUUCCGUGUGGCUCAGUUGGUAAAGCAUGGUGCAAUGCCAGGGUUGUGGUUUCGAUCCCCAUGGGGGACCAGUAUGGAAAAAGUAUGCACUCGCUGCUGUAAGAGUGUUUCCUGAAAUGUAAGCAGUUUGUUACGUAAGACCAGGAAAUGUUCCUGGUCUGAUCAACUGGCCAGGGAAAAACUUCUGUCUCUUUCUCUUUUUAUUGGAUGUGUCUCAGUGUGCACAUACUGUUCCUCCACAGCAGAGAGUCUAGUUAUAGAUAGGAGUUCUUGGAAAAUUCAUAGACCAUGGGUACAGUCAGUCAGAUGUUCCUCUCCCCUCAGCAUGCCACCACCUGCCUGCUGUGCUUUGUUUGCUUCUCUGUCAGAAGCCAGUAACUUUUCAGGGUAGGGCAGUUCAGUGACUGAGACGGCAUUGAGCAGGCCAGACAUAGCAGUGGCUUCUAUUUGGCUGCAUACCGUUUGGCAUGGAUUAGCGGGGCGGGAAGAAAACCUGGAAUAGAACCCCUUCCACAGAACAGAUGAGUGGUGCUUUCUUUUUAUGGUUUGUAUGUUAACCCUUGUUCUUGCUGUCAUCCAUUGAACAGGACCUGUCCCUCUCUCCAGUGCCAGCAGGAAGUGACUCAGCGACCAGGAAGGUGUCGUCCCUAUCCGAGCUGUUCCGUGUCCACACCAACUUCCUACGAGGGAAGGUUCGCCUGCUGCUCACCAACGCACCUGCCUGUCAACAGAACAGCACGUGAUUGGAGCUUUCCCUGAAGGCAGAGGCUGGGAUUGGACUGUUGUUUAGAGAGAGGAUGAGGUCAUUGGACUUCUGCUGAAAUCUCUGAAUGGACUUCGAAGUAUGGAAUGUGUAGACAAGGUGAUUGUUGACUGGAUAAAAACUGGUGGGAAAGUCAGUUGAUGUGGGUGGUGCUGAUGAGAAACCAUGAACGAGUGAGAGAAAAAAACAUCACUUCUACAACUCAUUGACCUCAUCGGUUCCUAGUACUACCUGUCAGUACCACAAUGAGCUCUGAUGCAUGCAGCGGGAAUAAGCUACAGACAGUACCCGCUGGGCACAGACGUCAAUUCAAUGUCUAUUCCACGUUGGUUCAACCUAAUU